CCCCUCCAAUUGGUCAUUGCUUCUUAAUUGGCCACCCAUGGCAACAGGAAUCCAUAAACCGGAAAAAUAUACCAAAUCUCCUAAUACUUGAGUUAGCUUACAAAGUUUUUCUGUUCUGUCAAGACACAAAACUUGAGACUUCACUCACACACAUGCUGCAAGUAGCUUUUAAGAGCCUAUGUGUUUCUUCAUCUAAAUCAACAUUAUCUUUCUUCAUACGCUCUGCAACUAUUAGGGGCAUUUUACCUGCGUUUUUAUAAGUUCGUAGAACAGAAUUAUAUAUCUCUGUACUCACAUGGCCAGCUUUCUGAAGCAUAACCAAAAAUUCCUCUGCUUCUUCAACAAUCCCUUUCUCCUCAAGAUUCUUAAAUACUUCUCUAACCAAAAUUUUGUCAGGAUUCCACUUCUUAACACUACUAAUAGCCUUCUUAAAAUAAUCUAAAACUUUAUCCAUCUGCUUUGAUUUCAAAUGACCCCAUGUUAGAAGUUCCCAAGUAGUGUAACAAGGACGGAAGCCGUUUUGCACCAUAUGAUGAUGAAAAUUUUCAGCUUCUUCCAUCUGGUUUCUAUUGACAUAAGCUGCAAGGAGAAUGUUUGGGACCUGGGGAUCACUCCGUCCAGAAACUGACUCCCACUCAGAGUAAAGAUUCUGUGCUUCUUCAAUCUCCUCAAGUUUCACAAGGG
Molecule: unclassified non-coding RNA, 684 nt
Filed under: Hevea brasiliensis (rubber tree)
Lineage: Eukaryota; Viridiplantae; Streptophyta; Magnoliopsida; Malpighiales; Euphorbiaceae
Source: RNAcentral